UCUGCGAAGGCAUCAUUUCCAGCAGCCUCAUGCCGAGCUGGCCGCCAGAGCCUCUUAGUGUGGCUAUAAAUAGCAGAUCAUCAACUCACCUCUUCUGAGCUCAGCACAGUCUCUUCAGUUCACUGUGUCUUUCUGCUGCCUGCGUGUCAACGUCACUCAGAUUUCCCAGGAGUAGAAAGAGUUACAGAUCCACAAGGUCUAUGGAAACAGGAGAGGAGAUGGCAGCAGACAAAGGAUGGAACACAUUUUUGGAAGGUGGGAAGCAGAGGAAGGAGUGAAAACCUUCAGGCACAACCCUUUCCUCCCAGGAUGGUGACUACAGGACACUUUUCUGUAGAAGCUGAGUAAACUCAAGGGAAAGACCUACAGAUACAGACAUGAUAUGGAGACAGACCCUCAAUGGAAGACCCAGCUCAUGACCAACUCCCCUCUACGGGGAAGUCCACUGUUUGACAAGCUCCACCCAAGCAUGCUGACCAGCGAAUCAUUGCUUCAAAGCAUAAUUCUUUGAUAUUAUCAGAGAGCCAAGAUCCCAUUUAAGGAAAGCAUCAGAUGUGAGAAAUGGGGAGGGGAAGGAGAAGAAGAAUGUCUAAGUUCAGGGAGAGGAAAGCUUUAAAAAUGCUAUAAAAAUCCCCAGGGAGAGAAAAUAAGGUUUCUAUUUCAAGAUUCAUUACCCACAAAAUGUCAGAACACCAGAGAUACAGAAAAGACCCUAAAAGGACCCAGACAGAAAAAACAGGUCAAUUGAGAGUAUCAGGGAUCAGAAUGGCACCAGACUUCUCAAAAGCAACACUGGAACCUGGGAGAUAAUGGAGUGAGGCCUUUAGAACUCUAAGUGAGAAUUUUUUAUAGCUUAGAAAUAUAAACCCAAACCAUUAAUUAGGAGAAACAGUAGAAUAAGAAAUGUUUUCAGACAAAAGAGAUCACAAAUAAUGGGCCUCUCAUGCUCCCUUUCUCAGGAAGUUCUCCACCCAAACAAAAGAAUAAUUCAAGGAUGAGGGGUGCCUGGGUGGUCAGUCAGUUGAGCAUGACUCCUGAUUUGGGCUCAGAUCAUGAUGUCAGGGUCACGGGGUCAAGCCCCACAUCAGGAUCUGUGCUCCAUAGGAAGUCUGUUUAUCUUUCUCCCUCUGCUCCUCUCCCCUCUCUCUCUAAAAUUAAAACAACAACAACAACAACAACAAACACUCCAAAGAUGAGGAUGACAUGCCCAGGAGAGCAAAAGGGUACCCGAGGUGAUGCUGAAGGAGAGCCCUAAUGACAAUGAGGUGGAAAGCCCAGGGGCAAGAGCUCUGCUCUGAGCCAGAGGAUAGAGAACUUCAGGUGAGAGAUGGUCAGAUUACUUGACAGGUAUGCCCAGGUAGAAAAUUAUGUUGAAGGGCUAUUAGACAGUUGUAAGAAUUAGUAAUAAGUUCUUUAAAAAACUGAGUAAAUAAAAAACAUGAGGCAAUUACUACCUACAAAAAAAAAAAAAAAAGCCUAUGACAGAUAAACUAUAAAAGAAAAUAAACACAACACCACAAAAAUGUACAUAGCCAAAGUAAUGUAAACACAGAUUAUUGAUUUAGCCAAAGAUGGUAAUAAACAGUGUUGGAAAGCUGGAGGAAAGAGAAGGAGGAUGCAGGUGCCAAUGGAUUAAAGCAAAUCCUCAUCUCCCACAAUUGCAAGAAAACAGAUAAUCUUUAAAAUUGACGAAUCAACAAAACAGCACUAUAAGCGUAUUAUCUAGAGAAAUGGGAGAGGAAGUUAAAACUGGGAAACAGCUGAAAGAGUUUAUUUAACUGGGUACCUUUGGGUUAUCAGACUGGGGUUGGGGUUACAUGGGACAAGGGAUUGCUAUUUUUCACCCUAUGCCUUUGAGUACUGUUUGAAUUUUUGUGUGUAUAC
This is a long non-coding RNA of Mustela erminea (ermine), 1884 nucleotides long. RefSeq lists it as uncharacterized. The transcript is spliced from 3 exons. NCBI's taxonomy places the organism in Eukaryota, Metazoa, Chordata, Mammalia, Carnivora, Mustelidae. The record is from RefSeq and is a predicted model, not a curated record.